CUCAGUUGGUAGAGCAGAGGACUGAAAAUCCUCGCGU
RNAcentral lists this transfer RNA (37 nucleotides) under Welwitschia mirabilis. RNAcentral describes it as "tRNA-Phe". Lineage: Eukaryota; Viridiplantae; Streptophyta; Gnetopsida; Welwitschiales; Welwitschiaceae. The record is from RNAcentral.